Anolis carolinensis (green anole) is the source of this 644-nucleotide RNA transcript. RefSeq lists it as uncharacterized. NCBI's taxonomy places the organism in Eukaryota, Metazoa, Chordata, Lepidosauria, Squamata, Anolidae. The transcript is spliced from 2 exons. The record is from RefSeq and is a predicted model, not a curated record.
CUGCUGCUUGUCUGGAGUUUCCCUUGGCCUUUCCCUUGAUGGCUGAGACGGUGACAUCUCAGUGCCAGAGGGACUUCCCAUGGCCUUCUUCUGAGUGCAGGAGUGGUUGGGGUUUCAGUUCAGGUUCUUCUUGUUUCCCAUCAGUCCUUUGCGCAAUUCUGCUCUUCCUUCCAGCACUUUGAUUUCACUUCUGGAAAAAAACUGGAAGGUGAUCUCCCCAGUUCAUGUGAGAGUGACCUACUUCCUUGUGUUGAUCAUUGGAAAAAAACAUCAUGGCUCCUGUUGACAUCUCGUAUCAAGGCCAUUUCCCAAGGCAUUCUGUGCAUUGCUUCCGGCUCAGAUUCCAGGGGUUCAGUUGCCCAAUUACUCUUGGAAGGGGAUAUAAAGGAGGUGCGCAGAGCUGGAGCUUCACUCACUGCUGCCUCGCCAUGAAGACCUCAACUGGCUGCAUCGUCCUCCUUGCUCUCCUGGCCAUCUCUGCCCUGACUCCCGCUGUCUAUGGGAAAGGAAAGCCUGGGAAAUGCCCAACUCCACCUCCAGGCACCAUUACAACAUGUGAUAUCAAGUGCCACUCAGAUCGCGAGUGUUCUGGACGCGAGAAGUGUUGCAAGUGGGGAUGUGGACAGAUGUGCCGUCCUCCUGUC